Molecule: long non-coding RNA, 1487 nt
Filed under: Helianthus annuus (common sunflower)
Lineage: Eukaryota; Viridiplantae; Streptophyta; Magnoliopsida; Asterales; Asteraceae
Description: sRNA HanXRQr2_Chr04g0191111
Source: RNAcentral
AUGGUGUUCACCUCUAUAUUGAAUUUGACUUUAAAGUUUCACACCUCAGUUAAAAUGUUAAAAGAAAUUAGUUGUCAUUGUUCUUCAUGUGAUAUGAAAAAAAAAACAUAAAAAAAAAAACAUUGAAUCUCACCUCACUUGUGAUCGUCCAUUGUAAAUCUAACGGAAGCUGGACAAACUCAUCAAAUUUGCUCCCGACCAUUACUGGAAUCGCGGUCUGAAAGAUUCAAACAAUAAUCAAUCAGAUAAAGAAACCGAAAAUCAUUAAAAUGUUAUUUUAGAUAUAAUUCAUAUUUACCUGAUUAUAAUUCCUAGCUUGUUGAUGCCAAUUGAUAACACUAAACACAAUACAAAAAGAACAACAUUUUAACAAAAAAAAUUAAGAUAAAAAUAUAUAAAGACGAAACAUAUAUCAUAUACUCAUUUACCUGUUAAGCGUCCGACGACUUGUUAGAUCAAACAUGAACAAGAUCGCUACAGAGUCCUUACAAGCUGUAGGAAUCAGAGUCCUUGAAUCACCAUCUAUAAAACAAUAGGAAAUUGAUUAAUUUUUCGUUAACGGAUUCUCACGAUGAAAAAAAAUCAAUGGUUAGAGAAUAAUUAAACCGAUUAAACCGAAUUAAAUUUAAAACAAGGAACUGAUAAUAUGAUAUCUUGUUUACCUGGAUAUAAUGCAUCACCACUAACUUCCCAUAUGUUAUAUGAGAUUCUGGCUCCUUUGACACAUAGGGUUUUAUCCAUAUGAUCUAUUUUUUUAGUUGAUGAUUCUUCUUGAUUUUUUUCUUUCCCCACAUAUUUUGCCUGCAAUCAUGCAAUUACACACUAAAUAUAGGUAAUUAUACAUAUCUUUUUUGAAUAUUAUUAGUAUUCUUGGUUUUAAAAAGCGAUAUACGCACAAAAGCUACGAGGUCUAAAAUUCAGGCGCGAAGCGCAAAGCGCAAAAGCAUUGGGAUUUUCGUACCCGAGGCGCAAGGUGUUUAUAUAAUUUUUUUAUAUAUCCCAUAGGUUUUUAGCUUUUUUAACCAAAAUAUAGCUAUAUAUAAAUAAGGCUUUUAUAUCAUUUUACUUACAUGUACAGGUCAAAAAACCUAAGGUACAACUUUUUUCUGCAGAAAAACGCCUCAGAUAAAUGAGGCGCACGCCUCAGUCCAAAAAGCCCCCAAAAAAACCCAAAAUUCUGUGCCUUUUGGGCACUUCUUGUAAUUACACAAGGCGCUGACGAAAAAGCCCUAGAAGUUGCGCCUUAGUGCGCCUCGCGCCUCAACGCGCUUUGUAAAACCAAGUUAGUAUUAUAUCUUACAAAUAUGAGUUUAUAAUGAAUGCUAAACAAAAAAGAGAUCAACUUGUAAAAAAUGUUUUUUUUUUAGUUUGCUAGACAAUGUACAAAUUCUUCAAUAAUGCAAUAAGUUUCAACACUACAAGUAAUCCAAUAAAUUAGUAAGAAUAACUAUUUGUUUUUUAUGUUUGUCAAGUAAUAUAGGAUAAUU